AUAUCAGAGGUCACACACCUCUGGAGCAACUAGGGGUUUAGAGUCUUGCUCAAGGACACAUUGGUUGAUGUAACGCAGUAGGAAUCGAACCCUGAUCUCCCACACCAAAGACAUGUGUCAUGUCCACUGCACCAUCACCACAAACUCAUAU
Molecule: long non-coding RNA, 151 nt
Organism: Etheostoma spectabile (orangethroat darter)
Lineage: Eukaryota; Metazoa; Chordata; Actinopteri; Perciformes; Percidae
Exons: 3
Source: RefSeq, a predicted model, not a curated record